Melospiza melodia melodia is the source of this 2124-nucleotide long non-coding RNA. RefSeq lists it as uncharacterized. The record is from RefSeq and is a predicted model, not a curated record. The transcript is spliced from 5 exons. NCBI's taxonomy places the organism in Eukaryota, Metazoa, Chordata, Aves, Passeriformes, Passerellidae.
UCCUAGCUCCUUGCCCUUAACAGGGCAAUGCAGAUAAAGUUCAUUAAAUAUAUUGUCUAAGGUAGGAAAGUGAAGAAGUUUUGCUGUAACAAGCACUUAAACUGUGCAUGGAAAAAAAAAAGUAAAAAAUUGGAACAAAUUAUUUCUUACAAAAGCAAAGGUGGUGAAGGGCAUAUUGGUAUUGCAUGUUUUGCUGCAUUCACAAAAUUGCCCAAAUGAAGAAUCUCUGGAUGGGAUGUAUUAUUAGACCUUAAUCAAUAGGAUUUUUUUCAAGCAGGCUGGGCAUCCAACUAUUUGACGCAGAUCCUUUCCACACACGAGAGCACUGGAACACCGGAAACUGCAGCAUUAAUGAAUUACAAGGAAGAUUGCAAAUGCCUAUGAUUUUAGAGCUAAUUUUGACAAGAAAAUGGUCAAGCAAUUUUUACAGGUUUUUGAUACUUCUGCUGGAAUACUGAAUUUUUGUUUCUUCUUACAGCAGGUGCAGUGUUCACAGAAUUGCACAAUCCCAGAGUGGUGGAGGUAGGAAAGCACCUCUGGAGAUCAUCUGAUCCAAACCUCUGCUGAAAAUCAUGGCCAGCUAGAGCCUGUCCAUCAGACUGCUUUGGCUGUUGGAGACAAACUGGGCAGUUGCCUACAGGAGAGGAAGAGGAAGGAUAAGUGGUCCAGCCCAUCUUCAAAGACCCCAACUUUUGGGUGGUUCUGUUGGAGAAGCACCACUCCUCCCUGAAGAUAUCUGGUUGCACACAGAUUGUCCAUGAUUGGGUGUACAAGUGCACAAAGGGUCACAUUUCCACCACCUGAGGACAGCCAGGCCUGGCAGCCAGCGAUAGGAACAGCACACUUGGAGGAGCUUCUGGUUACCAGACUAAGGGGCAGCUCGUGCAUUUUGUGUGCUGCUUGAAGCUGCACCCUUCUUGUCCUCGGACCAGUGUCCAGGGCUCUUCAGGGUCCUCCUUUAUCUACCCAUGGAAAGCAACAACAUAGAACUGAGCAAUCUUCUUCUGGCCUCACCAUGUUAAAUCUCUAUCCUAAGAUCCUUGAGGACAUGCAUUGUCCCAUGAGAAUAAAAGCAAGUAAAGACUGACCACAUUUUUUCAGACCUAGGGGCAAAGAGACUUCACUCUCUUAUUCUUCAGUAUUCUGCAUCACAGCCAAUGCUUGCAACAAUGAUCACUUCAAAAUGCUGCUACCCUCCUUUCACUUACCCACUGUAUCCUAGUUACCAGCCUACUCAGUUCUCAAAGUCACUAAUAAACAUCAUUUUAAGUCAGCAAAUGUUUCGUGACCUACGCAAAGCAGGAGGUGGGAGAGAUGGGGAACUGCUGUCUUGAAAAGUUGGUUCAAGCAAUAUGCACAUGGAAAAUUAUAAUUUAGAUUGAAAUCAGGAAAGAAAAAUUAUCCAAAGUGUAUGGCAUUGCUCCCUCCAGAGUGACUGAUCUGUCAGAGAGCAACAGAGAUGUUCUAUCUGUGUUCCCAGAAACACUAACAAAAAGCAAGAUGUCAGUGACAUCAUAACAGACUGCUAGGACAUUCAGUUUACUCUCAUGAAUUCAGCAAAGCAGCCUGGGCAAAGUAGGCAAUUUCUGUUCAAACUCUUCACCAUGACAAUCUCCAAAGCCCAUCCAGCUCCAUCACAUAUUCUGCAGCAAGGACAAACAACCCAGGGAUUAAACUCUGGCUCUAGAGCAGACUGAUGGCAAAUCACCACUUAGUGCAAGAGACCUUCAUUUUGAGAUACUCUGUCUUCAAAAAACAGUUGAUGCUCACUCCCAUCACCUUGCUCACUGCUCCAUCCUUUCCCACACUGUUUUUUAGAGGUGACUUCAAACCAUCCUUAUCUCAAUGGAACAACCAUCACAAACCACCAGGGCUUCAUCCAUUUUAUCCAAACCAGCCUAAACCUGUGGGUUAACUACCUAUUUGGUAGCUUGUCCAGCACCAGAAAUAACUGCACCAAAAUUAAAAGGAGCUUACAAAACUGUUUGGUACAUAGAUAUACACACACAGGGACUUCUUCAAAAUGCAAAGCUUUCAAAAAAAAUCAACAUAAAUUUUUCAGCUCUAUCUAACCUAUUUUCUGCUUUUUCUUUAUGCAAUGCCAUAAUGUCCUUUUUGGAAACU